UCGGUAGCCUAGUGGUCAUGGCCGCGGACUCGCGUUUCGUCGAGUGUUGGGUUCGAGCCCCACUGCAUCUAAA
This is a non-coding RNA of Nephila pilipes (giant wood spider), 73 nucleotides long. Lineage: Eukaryota; Metazoa; Arthropoda; Arachnida; Araneae; Nephilidae. The record is from the annotation of a GenBank genome assembly.